GGAAUUGUAUAAUGAAAAAAAUCGAGACUUGAAAAUGCUUUGAUGGAGUCACAUAAUGAAAUCUCUUGAAAAGUGACUACUCAUGUAAAAAUGAAAAUCCUUCAAGUGGACCGAGGAACUAUGAAGGUGAGGUAAAUGAUUGAUCAUCUUACCAAAGUGGGGGAAAUAUGCUCUAGUGUAUAAUGUUUGAUGUCAAAGCCGAGGUAAGCAACCAACACUGAUCAUCCAUUUAUGCAUCAACGCUGGAGUAAAUCUCAUCAAAGAAAAGGGAAUAUGCCCUAAUAUGACAUUUGAUGCGAAAAUCUUGAGUCAAGAAAAAAU
Molecule: long non-coding RNA, 321 nt
Filed under: Vitis vinifera (wine grape)
Lineage: Eukaryota; Viridiplantae; Streptophyta; Magnoliopsida; Vitales; Vitaceae
Description: long non-coding RNA (VVIN_LNC006804)
Source: RNAcentral